RNAcentral lists this transfer RNA (77 nucleotides) under Burkholderiaceae bacterium. RNAcentral's name for it is "tRNA-Asp". It matches the Rfam family "tRNA". Rfam says of the family: Transfer RNA (tRNA) molecules are approximately 80 nucleotides in length. Their secondary structure includes four short double-helical elements and three loops (D, anti-codon, and T loops). The record is from RNAcentral. Lineage: Bacteria; Pseudomonadati; Pseudomonadota; Betaproteobacteria; Burkholderiales; Burkholderiaceae. RNAcentral also lists the same sequence under 1 other name.
GGAGUGGUAGUUCAGUUGGUUAGAAUACCGGCCUGUCACGCCGGGGGUCGCGGGUUCGAGUCCCGUCCCCUCCGCCA